UACGUAGGGUGCGAGCGUUGUCCGGAAUUAUUGGGCGUAAAGGGCUCGUAGGCGGUUUGUCGCGUCGGGAGUGAAAACCCAGGGCUUAACUCUGGGCUUGCUUUCGAUACGGGCAGACUAGAGGUAUGCAGGGGAGAACGGAAUUCCUGGUGUAGCGGUGAAAUGCGCAGAUAUCGGGAGGAACACCGGUGGCGAAGGCGGUUCUCUGGGCCUGUACUGACGCUGAGGAGCGAAAGCCAGGGGAGCAAACGGG
RNAcentral lists this ribosomal RNA (253 nucleotides) under uncultured bacterium. RNAcentral's name for it is "partial 16S ribosomal RNA". It matches the Rfam family "Bacterial small subunit ribosomal RNA", at positions 524 to 776 of the family's 1533-position model. The record is from RNAcentral.